This 367-nucleotide ribosomal RNA is filed under the name uncultured bacterium. Its description in RNAcentral is "bacterial SSU rRNA". It matches the Rfam family "Bacterial small subunit ribosomal RNA", at positions 309 to 693 of the family's 1533-position model. The record is from RNAcentral.
CACAUUGGGACUGAGACACGGCCCAGACUCCUGCGGGAGGCAGCAGUGGGGAAUAUUGCACAAUGGGGGAAACCCUGAUGCAGCGACGCCGCGUGAGCGAGGAAGUACCUCGCUACCUAAAGCUCUGUCAGCAGGGAAGAAAAUGACAAUACCUGACCAAGAAGCCCCGGCUAACUACGUGCCAGCAGCCGCGGUAAUACGUAGGGGGCAAGCGUUAUCCGGAUUCACUGGGCGUAAAGGGAGCGCAGGCGGCACGGCAAGUCUGAUGUGAAAACCCGGGGCUCAACCCCGGGACUGCAUUGGAAACUGCCGGGCUGGAGUGUCGGAGGGGUAAGCGGAAUUCCUGGUGUAGCGGUGAAAUGCGUAG